UCAGAGAGAAGAGAUGGGACGA
This 22-nucleotide microRNA is filed under the name Marchantia polymorpha subsp. ruderalis. The record is from RNAcentral. Lineage: Eukaryota; Viridiplantae; Streptophyta; Marchantiopsida; Marchantiales; Marchantiaceae.